UACGUAGGGGGCUAGCGUUGUCCGGAAUCAUUGGGCGUAAAGAGCGCGUAGGCGGCCAGAUAAGUCCGGUGUGAAAGUCACAGGCUCAACCUGUGAAUGCCGCUGGAAACUGUUUGGCUAGAGUCCGGAAGGGGCGAGUGGAAUUCCUGGUGUAGCGGUGAAAUGCGCAGAUAUCAGGAGGAACACCAAUGGCGAAGGCAGCUCGCUGGGACGGUACUGACGCUGAGGCGCAAAAGCGUGGGGAGCAAACAGG
This 253-nucleotide ribosomal RNA is filed under the name uncultured bacterium. RNAcentral describes it as "partial 16S ribosomal RNA". It matches the Rfam family "Bacterial small subunit ribosomal RNA", at positions 524 to 776 of the family's 1533-position model. The record is from RNAcentral.